CAGACCACGAAGGACGCAGCGUCUGAGAGGAGCCUCUCCACCCCCAACCACCCUGGGCAUCAUCACGCCAUCAGCCAGGCCGAGGCUCACCCAAUCUGUCGGCCACGGAUCCACGGCAGGAAGAAGACUAGUGUCCCAAAGACAGUCAACUGUGGAUGACACCAUUCCAACCACAGGUUCUGGGGAUCAGGCUCCGCUGCCCAGGGUGGAGACGAGUUCUUAGUCAUCAGGGCCCAGGAGUUGUUGUCAAACAUUGUCUCCAAAUGCUCCGACAUGGACAGCUGGGGCCGAGGCAGUGGUAGCCUUGGGGUUCACACUGAAGAAAGGGGUACGGAGAAGGAAGGGACAACAGCAAGGAAACUACCAGGUGCCCCCGACCCCGCAAAGAAAGAGAUGAAGUGAGACCUGGAGACCUGAUGGGACUAGAGGCGAGAGGAGGGCAGAAAGAGACCAUGAGAGGGACGAGCCAAGCCUAGAUGGGCACUGGCCUUGCUGGCCUAGACCAUAAAGCAAGUAUGCAGGAGAUGGAGAGGAGGGGGCGCAGGGCUCAGGGAGGGGAUGCGGAUUGGAGGGACACGGGGAGGGGGUUCAUUUUCACAGACUGCCGGAUCUGCCAGGGCGCUUUGCAUGAGAUCAGAUAGGUAGUGCUUCAGAGGGUUAGUAGAAAGAGGGGUUCCGUGAAAGGGGUGGGACUUUACGGAAGGUCGAAAGCGGGGCGCUCCCUGAGGGGGUCCAGCCCACCUGGUAGCCAACAGUUUGGAGGUGAACCCAUUGGCCUUGAGGAAAAAUAAGAAAGUCCGCUGGCUGUAGUUGUACCCGCAGCUCAGGACGCCACAGAUGGCCCUGGAAGUGGAGGUGUUGGUGAAGCCACCACCUCACCUUGAGUGUGGCUUUCGGGACUUGACAGCCCACUCACCCCAGGGCCACAAAAAAGAAGAUCUCUGGCAAGUCAAAGGGUAUGUCCACUGGAAAGCUGGUCUUGUAGAUGGAGGUGAUGGUCUCUGGGGAAGGAAGAGAGUGGGGAUCCCGUGCCAGCCUUCCACACCCUAACCCAGUCUCAGAAUAACUCGGGCAAGGAUGGGGGUGGCUUCUGACCCAACCUCAAAUUUCCCUGGAACUCUAGGCACCGCAGUGGCUCUCAUCCUAAGGAUUUUGGGGAUCACAUAUCAGAUAUCCUGCAUAUCAGAUAUUUAUAUUUCCAUUCAUAACAGUCACCAAGUAACGGGCUGGGGAAAUGGCUCAGCGGUUAAGAGCACUGACUGCUCUUCUAGAGGUCCUGAGUUCAAUUCCCAGCAACCACACGGUGGCUCACAACCAUCUGUAAUGGGAUCCAAUGCCCUCUUCUGGUGUGUCUGAAGAGUACAGUGUACUCAUAUACAUAAAUAAAUCUUUUUAAAAAAAAGUAAAAAAAAAAAAAA
This 1418-nucleotide long non-coding RNA is filed under the name Mus pahari (shrew mouse). Its description in RNAcentral is "lncRNA (MGP_PahariEiJ_G0003804.1)". Lineage: Eukaryota; Metazoa; Chordata; Mammalia; Rodentia; Muridae. The record is from RNAcentral.